This 398-nucleotide ribosomal RNA is filed under the name uncultured bacterium. Its description in RNAcentral is "bacterial SSU rRNA". It matches the Rfam family "Bacterial small subunit ribosomal RNA", at positions 28 to 429 of the family's 1533-position model. The record is from RNAcentral.
GACGAACGCUGGCGGCGUGCUUAACGCAUGCAAGUCGAGCGGUAAGGCCCUUUCGGGGGUACACGAGCGGCGAACGGGUGAGUAACACGUGGGUGACCUGCCCUCAGCUCUGGGAUAAGCCUGGGAAACUGGGUCUAAUACUGGAUAUGACUCCACGGUGCAUGUCGUGGGGUGGAAAGCCUUGUGCGGCUGAGGAUGGGCCCGCGGCCUAUCAGCUUGUUGGUGGGGUGAUGGCCUACCAAGGCGACGACGGGUAGCCGGCCUGAGAGGGCGACCGGCCACACUGGGACUGAGACACGGCCCAGACUCCUACGGGAGGCAGCAGUGGGGAAUCUUGCGCAAUGGGCGAAAGCCUGACGCAGCGACGCCGCGUGAGGGAUGACGGCCUCGGUUGUAAC